CUAUGAUCACUCUCUGCUUGUCUCCAACGAAAGCACUAGAAUCCCAAGCUUGUCGUCUUUCAAUACCUUUUAGAGAGGUUUGGGCAUAGUGCAUAAUUGAUGUGGUAAUGCUAUCUGAUCUCACCCCUGUCCUCCUCAUGGCAGCAAUAACUCGCUGAUAAAGAUCAAUUCUUAGCACUGAAAGAUCUUCAACCCACCAGUCCUGACAAUCCAUUUUCAACUUCCCAGAUCCAGCAUCACAUUCCAAGCGGGCUAAACCAGAAACCAGCUGUUCCUUGCUAGCAUUUAUGGCAAUUGCAUCGACACAUCUAUUCAGUAUACCGAGCUCCUCCACAAUGGGAUGCAAACCCUCACAAGCACAUAAAACUUCGAGAGACUUCUCGAGGCUUUGCACCACAAUCUCAUUCAUGUAGGUCUCUGUCCGGGCAAUCAAGUUCUCCUCCUGGUAAUCUUCUGUCAUUUCUAGAUACUCAGCAAUGCAUCGGAGAUGAGCCACAUUGCUGGUAGUGAUUUCGAAGUUUGUUCCGUAGCAGAAUUUUGCAGCAAGUUCAAAUGCUGGAGCUCCCCCAGGUACAUUGCAGAGCUCCAACUUAAAAAGAUCAGGGUCCUUGGAUUCCACUAUCAUCUUGCGAAUUUUUCCACUCCGAGAAACCAAAGGGAACUUCAAAAUAAAAAACAAGGUCAGAACAGAUGUUACAAAGCCGAUUUCCUCUAUGUGAGUUGCACGGAGUGAAUGAAGUUUCACCAAGAAGAAAUAAUAAAUAUAUGGCUAUGAACGAGAUUACUAAAUGCUAAUUAGUGUGCAGAUAUUAUGUCUAGGCUCUCUUGUCUGGAGUAAGGUAAGGGAUGAAAAAAGAUAAAGUGUGUUUAUGUAUGUAUAUGUAUUUGUAUAUGUAUAUGUUUAUGUAUCUCUCUCUCUCUCUCUCUCUGUGUACUCAUGGAUGUCCUUUAUGUUUUGAUCCUGGUAAAGUCUAGGCUCUGCAUCCUUUAUUUUUUGACCACUGUCUUGCUGAUAUACUCAUAGAUGUCCAUCUAUGAAUCAAACAAGAAAAGA
This 1054-nucleotide long non-coding RNA is filed under the name Phoenix dactylifera (date palm). Its description in RNAcentral is "long non-coding RNA (PDAC_LNC004078)". Lineage: Eukaryota; Viridiplantae; Streptophyta; Magnoliopsida; Arecales; Arecaceae. The record is from RNAcentral.